GGACUUUGAGAGGUGAGCACAGUCCUUCUCCACACUGUGUUCCCAAGGCCUUCCCAUCCCCGUCUCACGUGCCACCAAGGAAACAUGUGACCUAAAAAAGGCCACAGUUCGCUUCUGGAGACCGCUCAAGGGAAGCCCCGUUCUCGGCUUCCUCCUCAAGCUCCCUUCAUUCUCCAGAUGAUGCAAACCUUCCAAAUGCAGAAAUCCUCCCAGACCUAAGCAUCUUGGAGAAGAAUACUGGACCUGAGGGACCCCAGGCCUGGAUAUUAACCCCAUCUUUAUGUGUGGAGACAUUUACUUCCAUGUUGCUUUGCUUCUGAUGGAAGCUUCCAAGACCCAGCCUGCUCUCCCUGCCUGAAGGAUGGUCAGCAGGAAGCACACAUUCCCAAGGCUCCUGGCAGAGAGGAUGGGACACACCUGGACCGCGAACCUCUGGAUCUGUCCCCCCAAGCACCGGCUUUGUGCUGUCCUUUCUUCCAUGAGCAACCUCACGGGCAUCAUUUUAAAAAUAAUUAUUCCCCCAGAGGACCAGCCUCAAGUUCUGCCGGAGAGAAAAGCGUCAGUGCUGAGACAUCUUUGACAGCCUCCAAUUUCUUAAUGGCAAAGUGAAGAACCAAAGACAGCUUUCAUUAUUCUCUGCUCCACGGCAUUCCAAGCACCCUACCGGGGCUUGCUCCGGCUUUAUGGAAUGAGCGAAUAAACAAUUCUCUAUUCCAAUGGCCUCUAUC
Molecule: non-coding RNA, 728 nt
Organism: Peromyscus maniculatus bairdii (prairie deer mouse)
Lineage: Eukaryota; Metazoa; Chordata; Mammalia; Rodentia; Cricetidae
Source: RefSeq, a predicted model, not a curated record